GGGCUCAAGGCGUCGUGCGCAUUUGACC
RNAcentral lists this non-coding RNA (28 nucleotides) under Alexandrium minutum. The record is from RNAcentral. Lineage: Eukaryota; Dinophyceae; Gonyaulacales; Pyrocystaceae.